UAAGGAAUAUUGGUCAAUGGACGCAAGUCUGAACCAGCCAUGCCGCGUGAAGGAUGAAGGUCCUCUGGAUUGUAAACUUCUUUUAUCUGGGACGAAAACGGGAUUUUUAUCUCAAUUGACGGUACCAGAGGAAUAAGCACCGGCUAACUCCGUGCCAGCAGCCGCGGUAAUACGGAGGGUGCGAGCGUUAUCCGGAUUUACUGGGUUUAAAGGGUGCGUAGGUGGGCUUAUAAGUCAGUGGUGAAAUCUCCGAGCUUAACUUGGAAACUGCCGUUGAUACUAUAGGUCUUGAAUUAUCUGGAGGUCAGCGGAAUAUGGCAUGUAGCGGUGAAAUGCUUAGAUAUGACAUAGAACACCAAUUGCGAAGGCAGCUUACUACAUAUAAAUUGACGCUGAGGCACGAAAGCGUGGGGAUCAAACA
Molecule: ribosomal RNA, 421 nt
Filed under: uncultured bacterium
Lineage: Bacteria
Description: bacterial SSU rRNA
Rfam family: Bacterial small subunit ribosomal RNA
Source: RNAcentral